Molecule: ribosomal RNA, 253 nt
Filed under: uncultured prokaryote
Description: partial 16S ribosomal RNA
Rfam family: Bacterial small subunit ribosomal RNA
Source: RNAcentral
UACAGAGGGUGCGAGCGUUGUUCGGAAUUAUUGGGCGUAAAGGGCGCGUAGGCGGUGCCACAAGUCACUUGUGAAAUCCCCGGGCUUAACUCGGGGCCUGCAGGCGAAACUGUGGUGCUGGAGUGUGGGAGAGGUGCGUGGAAUUCCCGGUGUAGCGGUGAAAUGCGUAGAUAUCAGGAGGAACACCUGCGGUGUAGACGGCUAUCUGGACGGCCACUGACGCUGAGACACGAAAGCGUGGGUAGCAAACAGG